Molecule: ribosomal RNA, 451 nt
Filed under: uncultured bacterium
Lineage: Bacteria
Description: partial 16S ribosomal RNA
Rfam family: Bacterial small subunit ribosomal RNA
Source: RNAcentral
GUAGGGAAUAUUGGGCAAUGGAUGCAAGUCUGAUCCAGCCAUGCCGCGUGUGUGAAGAAGGCCUUUUGGUUGUAAAGCACUUUAAGCGAGGAGGAGGCUACCGAGAUUAAUACUCUUGGAUAGUGGACGUUACUCGCAGAAUAAGCACCGGCUAACUCUGUGCCAGCAGCCGCGGUAAUACAGAGGGUGCAAGCGUUAAUCGGAUUUACUGGGCGUAAAGCGCGCGUAGGUGGCCAAUUAAGUCAAAUGUGAAAUCCCCGAGCUUAACUUGGGAAUUGCAUUCGAUACUGGUUGGCUAGAGUAUGGGAGAGGAUGGUAGAAUUCCAGGUGUAGCGGUGAAAUGCGUAGAGAUCUGGAGGAAUACCGAUGGCGAAGGCAGCCAUCUGGCCUAAUACUGACACUGAGGUGCGAAAGCAUGGGGAGCAAACAGGAUUAGAAACCCCUGUAGUCC